This 604-nucleotide ribosomal RNA is filed under the name uncultured freshwater bacterium. RNAcentral's name for it is "bacterial SSU rRNA". It matches the Rfam family "Bacterial small subunit ribosomal RNA", at positions 8 to 607 of the family's 1533-position model. The record is from RNAcentral.
AGAGUUUGAUCCUGGCUCAGGAUGAACGCUAGCGGCAGGCCUAAUACAUGCAAGUCGAGGGGCAGCACGAAUAGCAAUAUUUGGUGGCGACCGGCGCACGGGUGCGUAACACGUAUGUAACUUACCCUUCACUGGGGAAUAGCCUUCCGAAAGGAAGAUUAAUGUCCCAUAACAUUUCGAAAAGGCAUCUUUUUGAAAUUAAAGCUCCGGCGGUGAAGGAUAGACAUGCGGGACAUUAGCUAGUUGGUGAGGUAAUGGCUCACCAAGGCUACGAUGUCUAGGGGAUCUGAGAGGACUAACCCCCACACUGGUACUGAGACACGGACCAGACUCCUACGGGAGGCAGCAGUAAGGAAUAUUGGUCAAUGGACGCAAGUCUGAACCAGCCAUGCCGCGUGCAGGAUGAAUGCCCUAUGGGUUGUAAACUGCUUUUGUACGGGAAGAAUAACUUUGACGUGUCAAAGGAUGACGGUACCGUAAGAAUAAGGAUCGGCUAACUCCGUGCCAGCAGCCGCGGUAAUACGGAGGAUCCAAGCGUUAUCCGGAUUUAUUGGGUUUAAAGGGUGCGUAGGCGGGAUAGUAAGUCAGUGGUGAAAGCUCAUAG